AUUGAACGCUGGCGGCAUGCCUUACACAUGCAAGUCGAACGGCAGCACGGGAGCAAUCCUGGUGGCGAGUGGCGAACGGGUGAGUAAUAUAUCGGAACGUGCCCAGUCGUGGGGAUAACGUAGCGAAAGCUACGCUAAUACCGCAUACGAUCUAUGGAUGAAAGCGGGGGAUCGCAAGACCUCGCGCGAUUGGAGCGGCCGAUAUCAGAUUAGGUAGUUGGUGAGGUAAAGGCUCACCAAGCCGACGAUCUGUAGCUGGUCUGAGAGGACGACCAGCCACACUGGGACUGAGACACGGCCCAGACUCCUACGGAGGCAGCA
This 321-nucleotide ribosomal RNA is filed under the name uncultured bacterium. RNAcentral describes it as "bacterial SSU rRNA". It matches the Rfam family "Bacterial small subunit ribosomal RNA", at positions 30 to 353 of the family's 1533-position model. The record is from RNAcentral.